UGAAAACAACCUAUGAUCAGUGUCCUCUCCACAGUCCCUGAAGACACUGACUCUAACCAUGGGAUGGAGCUGGAACUUUCUCUUCCUCCUGUCAGUAACUGCAGGUGUCCAUUGCCAGGUCCAGCUGCAGCAGUCUGGACCUGAGCUGGUGAAGCCUGGGGCUUCAUUGAAGAUAUUCUGCAAGGCUUCUGGCUACACCUUCACUGGGUAUACUAUACACUGGGUGAAGCAGAGGCCUGGACAGGGACUUGAGUGGAUUGGAUGGAUUUAUCCUGGAGAUGGUAGUACUUACUACAAUGAGAAGUUCAAGGGCAAGGCCACACUGACUGCAGACAAAUCGUCCAGCACAGCCUACAUGCAGCUCAGCAGCCUGACUUCUGAGGACUCUGCAGUCUAUUUCUGUGCAAGACACAGUGUUACAACCACAUCCGGAGUGUGUCAGAAACCUGGAGGAGCAGGAAGCUGCACUGGGACUGAGAUGACAGAAAGAUUAAUCCUUAGACUUGCUCAGAAUUUGUAAUUUUGAAUGUCCAUUUAUUACCUCCUCCUCAGAGUCUUAUAGUGCCUUUGUCAGCUUUGUAAAUGUCCAUCUAUGAGUAAAGUGAUGAUAUUUGGAUAAACCUAAAAUUCUUCAC
Non-coding RNA from Mus caroli (Ryukyu mouse), 635 nucleotides. Lineage: Eukaryota; Metazoa; Chordata; Mammalia; Rodentia; Muridae. The record is from the annotation of a RefSeq genome assembly.